AUUCUGUGACCGUGUGGCAUAGAAUUUUUGGCACAGUUCACAGAGGUCCUACUUGUUAACAGCCUCUUGUUGCCCACCACUUCCAGAGAGCAAACCAUGGGAGUUUUUCAGUCCGAAGUGAGCAGCCUUGAAAUCUGUGGCCGGCUGUCUUUGAGGGCAGUUGCUGGGAAAGAAGCUAGCUGCUGUCUAGACCCCGGGGCCCACGGCGGGCUGGGGAUCAUGUGCAAUCGGUCCAGCAAUGGUCGGUUCGAGGCCCUCUCUUGGGCAUCCCUGUGGCUAUAUCCAACUUCAAGAGCUCAAAAGGCUCAUUCCCAUUGGAAUCAGAUGGGGACCCAGGCGAGGAGCAGGGGCUGGGUUGAUAUUCCAGUGCGCAGAGAGGAAAAUGAGGCUCAAGGUCGCAAAGCGAGUAACAGAGCAGCCAGUCCGGGACUCAGAACUCAGCCUCGUGACUCCUGGUCCAGUGCUCUUUUCAGAGCUUCUCCUCGUAAAUGGUGAGGAUUUCGGUAAUCCAUCCAUCUCCCUUCAACCUCCUGCACUGUUGCUG
This 544-nucleotide long non-coding RNA is filed under the name Equus caballus (horse). RNAcentral's name for it is "lncRNA (ENSECAG00000049190.1)". Lineage: Eukaryota; Metazoa; Chordata; Mammalia; Perissodactyla; Equidae. The record is from RNAcentral.